UACAGAGGUCCCGAGCGUUGUUCGGAAUCACUGGGCGUAAAGCGCGUGUAGGCGGCCUUCUAAGUCCGAUGUGAAAGCCCGGGGCUCACCCCCGGAAGUGCAUUGGAUACUGGGAGGCUGGAGUACCGGAGAGGAGGGUGGAAUUCCUGGUGUAGCGGUGAAAUGCGUAGAUAUCAGGAGGAACACCUGUGGCGAAGGCGGCCCUCUGGACGGAUACUGACGCUGAGACGCGAAAGCGUGGGGAGCAAACAGG
RNAcentral lists this ribosomal RNA (253 nucleotides) under uncultured bacterium. RNAcentral describes it as "partial 16S ribosomal RNA". It matches the Rfam family "Bacterial small subunit ribosomal RNA", at positions 524 to 776 of the family's 1533-position model. The record is from RNAcentral.